AAAUGAAUUGACGGGGACCCGCACAAGCGGUGGAGCAUGUGGUUUAAUUCGAAGCAACGCGAAGAACCUUACCAGGUCUUGACAUCCCUCUGACUGGCCCAUAACGGGGUCUUUCCUUCGGGACAGAGGAGACAGGUGGUGCAUGGUUGUCGUCAGCUCGUGUCGUGAGAUGUUAGGUUAAGUCCUGCAACGAGCGCAACCCCUAUCCUUAGUAGCCAGCAAGUUAAGUUGGGCACUCUAGGGAGACUGCCAGGGAUAACCUGGAGGAAGGCGGGGAUGACGUCAAAUCAUCAUGCCCCUUAUGAUCUGGGCUACACACGUGCUACAAUGGUAAUAACAAAGGGAAGCGAAGCCGCGAGGUGAAGCAAAUCUCAUAAAGAUUAUCUCAGUUCGGAUUGAAGUCUGCAACUCGACUUCAUGAAGCUGGAAUCGCUAGUAAUCGUGGAUCAGCAUGCCACGGUGAAUACGUUCCCGGGUCUUGUACACACCGCCCGU
RNAcentral lists this ribosomal RNA (495 nucleotides) under uncultured bacterium. RNAcentral's name for it is "bacterial SSU rRNA". It matches the Rfam family "Bacterial small subunit ribosomal RNA", at positions 903 to 1397 of the family's 1533-position model. The record is from RNAcentral.